UACAGAGGUCCCGAGCGUUGUUCGGAUUCACUGGGCGUAAAGGGUGCGCAGGUGGGUUGGCAAGUUUGAUGUGAAAGCCCCGGGCUUAACCCGGGAAUGGCAUUGAAUACUGCUGAUCUGGAGGAUUGGAGGGGGGACUGGAAUUCUUGGUGUAGCAGUGAAAUGCGUAGAUAUCAAGAGGAACACCAGUGGCGAAGGCGAGUCCCUGGACAAUACCUGACACUGAGGCACGAAAGCCAAGGGAGCAAACAGG
This 253-nucleotide ribosomal RNA is filed under the name uncultured bacterium. RNAcentral describes it as "partial 16S ribosomal RNA". It matches the Rfam family "Bacterial small subunit ribosomal RNA", at positions 524 to 776 of the family's 1533-position model. The record is from RNAcentral.